GCUUGCUCUUCUUGGAUGAGUUGCGAACGGGUGAGUAACGCGUAGGUAACCUGCCUUGUAGCGGGGGAUAACUAUUGGAAACGAUAGCUAAUACCGCAUAACAAUGGAUGACACAUGUCAUUUAUUUGAAAGGGGCAAUUGCUCCACUACAAGAUGGACCUGCGUUGUAUUAGCUAGUAGGUGAGGUAAUGGCUCACCUAGGCGACGAUACAUAGCCGACCUGAGAGGGUGAUCGGCCACACUGGGACUGAGACACGGCCCAGACUCCUACGGGAGGCAGCAGUAGGGAAUCUUCGGCAAUGGGGGCAACCCUGACCGAGCAACGCCGCGUGAGUGAAGAAGGUUUUCGGAUCGUAAAGCUCUGUUGUAAGUCAAGAACGGGUGUGAGAGUGGAAAGUUCACACUGUGACGGUAGCUUACCAGAAAGGGACGGCUAACUACGUGCCAGCAGCCGCGGUAAUACGUAGGUCCCGAGCGUUGUCCGGAUUUAUUGGGCGUAAAGCGAGCGCAGGCGGUUUGAUAAGUCUGAAGUUAAAGGCUGUGGCUCAACCAUAGUUCGCUUUGGAAACUGUCAAACUUGAGUGCAGAAGGGGAGAGUGGAAUUCCAUGUGUAGCGGUGAAAUGCGUAGAUAUAUGGAGGAACACCGGUGGCGAAAGCGGCUCUCUGGUCUGUAACUGACGCUGAGGCUCGAAAGCGUGGGGAGCGAACAGGAUUAGAUACCCUGGUAGUCCACGCCGUAAACGAUGAGUGCUAGGUGUUGGAUCCUUUCCGGGAUUCAGUGCCGCAGCUAACGCAUUAAGCACUCCGCCUGGGGAGUACGACCGCAAGGUUGAAACUCAAAGGAAUUGACGGGGGCCCGCACAAGCGGUGGAGCAUGUGGUUUAAUUCGAAGCAACGCGAAGAACCUUACCAGGUCUUGACAUCCCGAUGCUAUUUCUAGAGAUAGAAAGUUACUU
This 957-nucleotide ribosomal RNA is filed under the name Streptococcus thermophilus. Its description in RNAcentral is "bacterial SSU rRNA". It matches the Rfam family "Bacterial small subunit ribosomal RNA", at positions 78 to 1019 of the family's 1533-position model. The record is from RNAcentral. Lineage: Bacteria; Bacillati; Bacillota; Bacilli; Lactobacillales; Streptococcaceae.